UUCUUCUCUAUCCUUAUCUCUAUGCUAUUUCCUCUCUUAUUUGGAUUACGUUCAAUACUCUGGAAAGGCUCAUCUCCUUGUACGUCUCUCCAUCGUGAUCUCUAGAAUCUGCCAGCGAUGUCUCUCGCUUAUCCUCUCCACACACUCAUCUCUCCCUCACGGUGCCCUCCCUCCAUUUUCUGCCGCCGCUGCUGCUUUGCUUUCCAUGGCGGCGACCUCCCUUUCUGCUGCAAGGAAGUUUUUCCCUGCCCUGGUGCUCGUGGCUGCUAUUUCUCUGGCCAUGUCGAGCCCUCUCCCUUGGAUGCCAGCGCCCCCUUCCUGUUGCGGCCAACACCCCAACCCUAGCGCUUGGCUUCCAUCCCAGCCGCACCCUGCUCGGCUUCUCCGGUGCCGGCCGCCGUUCCAAGUCGUCGUUCCAGCCGACCUCAUUACUCGUUGCUCCUGAUGGCUGAUUGGACCUUGUAAUGUUGCGACAACGACACGCAAUGGUACGCUAGCUGAAAAAUCGUGCGAAGCGAAGGGUGUGGAUCAAAACAACCCACAAUACGAUGUCAGCCGAUGAGCCCGAAGAUGGAUGGACUAAGCAGAUGUCAGAACGAAAGCUGAUCAUCAAGUGGCCUUCAUCUAACAACACUAACCUAGUGUUAUCCCAGGGUUUUAUUCCCUGUUGUUUUUCAGGUUAUAUUUUUGUUCUGUUGUGGAUGGUGCUAAGUGCCGGUGGGCUCGGCCUUCUUAUAUAAGUAUAUUCCAUCUUUAGCUUCUUUAUUGAGGACUGUCACUUAAGCUAGCAUGUAUUUUAAAACUUAUAAAUGUUUUAUACAUUCAAAUUGUAAUCUUUUUGAAUCAAUUUCUUUUGUAAUCAACUCCGAUGAUAUAUAUUGUAAUCUUGUUAUAACUUGUAAAUGUUGUAACUUGUAACCAUUUUGUAAUAAAGAAUUUCCGCUGC
This 946-nucleotide unclassified non-coding RNA is filed under the name Zea mays. RNAcentral describes it as "misc RNA Zm00001eb423210". Lineage: Eukaryota; Viridiplantae; Streptophyta; Magnoliopsida; Poales; Poaceae. The record is from RNAcentral.